Molecule: RNase P RNA, 401 nt
Filed under: Mesopusillimonas faecipullorum
Lineage: Bacteria; Pseudomonadati; Pseudomonadota; Betaproteobacteria; Burkholderiales; Alcaligenaceae
Description: RNase P RNA component class A
Rfam family: Bacterial RNase P class A
About the family: Ribonuclease P (RNase P) is a ubiquitous endoribonuclease, found in archaea, bacteria and eukarya as well as chloroplasts and mitochondria.
Source: RNAcentral
AGGACAAGCUGGGCAGUCGCGGCGAACGUGUUUUCGUCGAGGAAGGUCCGGACUCCACAGGGCGGGAUAGCGGCUAACAGCCGCCCGGCGCGGGCUUGCCCGUACCGAGGAAUAGGGCCACAGAGACGAGACUGCAACGCGGGUGCGCUUGGCGCACACUGGCACGGCCACUUCCGUGCGGCGCGUGUUGCUUGCAGCACGCAGCGUAGCAGGGUGAAACGCGGUAACCUCUAUCCGGAGCAACAUCAAAUAGGCAUGCGCAAGCCCUUGGGCUUACAGGGCGGCCCGCCCAAGCAUGCGGGUAGAUGGCUAGAGCGCGCCAGCAAUGACGCGCCCAGAGGAAUGAUUGCCCGCCGGGCUUGCCCGGCGUACAGAAUCCGGCCUAUAGGUUUGUCCUGCCU